GUCAAAUUGAGGAGAAAUAAUUAUUUUAUUCACCCAUCCUAUUUUUUAUCUAUAAUGAUGAUCAUUUUUCCAUGUUGUGAUCUUUGCUCCAGUUGUGCUAAUACCAUGUUUAUCAUGUUUACCAUGUUUUAUCUUAAAAAUUGGCUUCUAUUUUGUUUCUAACCUAUAUCUCAACAUGGUUACUUUCUCCAAACAUGCUUUAGCUGCAGCAUUGGUCAACUGGCUUGAGCACAGCUCACAUGAGUCAUCGCCAAAUGACCCUUUUCUGAAAUUCACUGAGAGAGGAGUUACUCCAUGUAACAAGCAACUGAAGCAAGGGAAAGAAUGAGCCCCUGAACCCAGGAUGCAUGGCGAAGGAUCCAAUAUGUCAGGACCAAUGAGGGAAUUGCAGAGCUUCAUAUACAUUUGCCUUCUUCAAGUGUCUAGAUUACAUGAAACAUGUUUCUUCAAGUGUCUACACACUACAGGAAAUAAGUUUCUUAUGGAAGUAGUCAAACCUGGAUACCAAUUCAUUGGAACCAUUAUAUUCCUUAUAGAAGUAAUGCAAUAUAUUCUCUCUCU
This is a non-coding RNA of Aegilops tauschii subsp. strangulata, 561 nucleotides long. The record is from RefSeq and is a predicted model, not a curated record. NCBI's taxonomy places the organism in Eukaryota, Viridiplantae, Streptophyta, Magnoliopsida, Poales, Poaceae.